This 18-nucleotide unclassified non-coding RNA is filed under the name Mus musculus (house mouse). RNAcentral's name for it is "oocyte_clustered_small_RNA10614". The record is from RNAcentral. Lineage: Eukaryota; Metazoa; Chordata; Mammalia; Rodentia; Muridae.
AAUGGCUUAGUCAGUUAU